This 1225-nucleotide ribosomal RNA is filed under the name Actinomadura viridilutea. RNAcentral describes it as "bacterial LSU rRNA". It matches the Rfam family "Bacterial large subunit ribosomal RNA", at positions 1 to 1149 of the family's 2925-position model. Lineage: Bacteria; Bacillati; Actinomycetota; Actinomycetes; Streptosporangiales; Thermomonosporaceae. The record is from RNAcentral.
GUGUUCAAGUGUUUAAGGGCCCACGGUGGAUGCCUUGGCACCAGUAGCCGAUUAAGGACGUGGGAGCCUGCGAUUAGCCUCGGGGAGUCGGCAACCAGGCUGUGAUCCGGGGAUUUCCGAAUGGGGGAACCUGGCACCCGUCAUGGGGUGUCGCCGCCGUCUGAAUGUAUAGGGCGGUUGGUGGGAACGCGGGGAAGUGAAACAUCUCAGUACCCGCAGGAAGAGAAAACAAUAGUGAUUCCGUGAGUAGUGGUGAGCGAAAGCGGAGGAGCCUAAACCGUGCACGUGUGAUAGCCGGCAGGUGUUGCGUGUGCGGGGUUGUGGGACCACCCUGACCUAGCUGCCGAUGGGUCGAAGAGUUAUAAAGUCUCGUGAUAGCCGAACGGCUUGGGAUGGCCGACCGUAGACGGUGAGAGUCCGGUAGGUGAAAUUGCGGGGCCUCUUGGGUGUGUUCCCCGAGUAGCACGGAGCCCGUGGAAUUCCCGUGUGAAUCUGCCACGACCACGUGGUAAGGCUGAAUACUUCCUGGUGACCGAUAGUGGACCAGUACCCGUGAGGGAAAGGUGAAAAGUGCCCCGGUGAGGGGUUGUGAAAAGAGUACCUGAAACCCGUGUGCCUACAAGCCGUCAGAGCCUUGGACCUUCUUCUUCGGAGGAGGGGAGACCCGUGAUGGCGUGCCUUUUAAAGAAUGAGCCUGCGAGUUACGGUGUGUGGCGAAGGUUAACCGGUGUCGGGUAGCCGUAGCGAAAGCGAGUCUGAAGAGGGCGUCAUAGUCGCAUGCUGUAGACCCGAAGCGGGGUGAUCUAGCCAUGGGCAGGGUGAAGCGCCGGUAAGACGGUGUGGAGGCCCGAACCCACCAGGGUUGAAAACCUGGGGGAUGACCUGUGGCUAGGGGUGAAAGGCCAAUCAAACUCCGUGAUAGCUGGUUCUCCCCGAAAUGCAUUUCGGUGCAGCGUCGCGUGUUUCUUGCCGGAGGUAGAGCUACUGGGUGGCUGAUGGGCCCGACAAGGUUACUGACGUCAGCCAAACUCCGAAUGCCGGUAAGUGAGAGCGCGGCAGUGAGACUGCGGGGGAUAAGCUUCGUAGUCGAGAGGGAAACAGCCCAGAUCAUCGGCUAAGGCCCCGAAGCGUGUGCUAAGUGGGAAAGGAUGUGGAGUUGCCGUGACAACCAGGAGGUUGGCUUAGAAGCAGCCAUCCUUGAAAGAGUGCGUAAUAGCUCACUGGU